GAUGAAGAACGUAGCGAAAUGCGAUAAGUAAUGUGAAUUGCAGAAUUCAGUGAAUCAUCGAAUCUUUGAACGCACAUUGCGCCCCCCAGUAUUCUGGCGGGCAUGCCUGUUCGAGCGUCAUUUCAACCAUCAAGCCCUGCUUGUGUUGGGGUCCUGCGGCUGCCCGCAGGCCCUGAAAACCAGUGGCGGGCUCGCUAGUCACACCGAGCGCAGUAGCACAUCUCGCUCAGGGCGUGCGGCGGGCUCCAGCCGUUAAAGCACCCACCUUUCGCAAGGUUGACCUCGGAUCAGGUAGGAAUACCCGCUGAACUUGAGCAUAUCAAUAAGCGGAGGA
Molecule: unclassified non-coding RNA, 334 nt
Filed under: soil metagenome
Description: partial contains 5.8S ribosomal RNA, internal transcribed spacer 2, and large subunit ribosomal RNA
Rfam family: 5.8S ribosomal RNA (bases 1-120)
Source: RNAcentral